Molecule: ribosomal RNA, 465 nt
Filed under: uncultured bacterium
Lineage: Bacteria
Description: partial 16S ribosomal RNA
Rfam family: Bacterial small subunit ribosomal RNA
Source: RNAcentral
GAUGAACGCUGGCGGCGUGCUUAACACAUGCAAGUCGAACGGAAAGGCUCCUGCUUGCCGGGGUACUAGAGUGGCGCACGGGUGAGAAACACGUGGGUGAUCUGCCCUGCACUUCGGGACAAGCCUGAGCAACUGGGACUACUACCGGCUAGGUCGAUGGUUAGGAUGCCAUUGUUGAAAGUUAUGCGGUGUGGGUUGGGCUCGCGGCCUAUCGGCUUGUUGGUGGGGUAAUGGCUUACCAAGCCGUCGUCGGGUAGUCGGCCUGGGAGGGUGUACGGCGACAUGGGGACUACGAGACGGACCAGACGGCAACGGGGGGCAGCGGGGGGAAAUAUGGCACAGUGGGGGCGAGUCUGAGGAGGCGGCGCUGCGUGGGGGAUGACGGCCUUCUGGUGGUAAACGCCUUUCGCUAGAGACGAAGCUCAAGUGACGUUACCUGGAGAAGAAGCACCGGCUAACUACGUG